Engraulis encrasicolus (European anchovy) is the source of this 1014-nucleotide long non-coding RNA. RefSeq lists it as uncharacterized. Lineage: Eukaryota; Metazoa; Chordata; Actinopteri; Clupeiformes; Engraulidae. The transcript is spliced from 5 exons. The record is from RefSeq and is a predicted model, not a curated record.
AGGCGACUUUGCUAUAAAUGGCAGCUAGCUCUACACUAUUUCGGGCAUUCGCUAACAAUCAGUGUGCAGAUAACUAGCGCAAACGUGCCGAGAUAUCUUGUUUAUUAUAAAAAUAAACGCUUGUGUUGUGCCAUGGCUUAUAUGGUGAUGACGUUUGAGAUUGUAAAUUUACGGGCCACAGAUGUGUCUAUGGUAAGGCCGACCUGACGAGAUAGCUGCCUACUGAGGUUUGAUUGGAUAUGGACAUUGUUUAUUUCAGAAGGAAAAUGUUUGGAGUGGAAUUGUUUGGAAGACAAUCUUGGGACAAUUUUGCUCUUUGGGUCUUUGUGCCAACCAUGCCAGCUAUCGUAGGGUGCUCUGGGAACUUCUUAGAUCUGUUUACUGUAUGUACACUUACUGAAAUAAGCAUUUUGUUUACAUAAAAUCCCUUGUCAUUUCACCACUAGGUUUGAAACCCAGACAGCACGAAGCAUCUUGCCGACGUCAAAAUCAGAUCAACAGACUGGGACAUCAGCCUUCUCUUGGGAAUAGGCCAGAUAUGCCAUAACAAGAAAUGGUGUUUUGCCCCUGCGGUUGUGAAGAGGAUGCUGUGGAGGUGGCAGCAUGAACGUGUCACACAGACAUUGGCUAAACUACUCGGCUUCUACACUUGCCCUCAGAGUUCACAUAUGGUGACGUGCACAUGUGUCCAGUCAGGUUCAGACUGAUGCUGGUAACAAGAGGAGAACAUGCUAAUUGAUGCUGUGUUGCUGCCAGUCCACGGAUGUACACGAAUGGCUCACCUGGAGGAGGAGGGCGGUCAACGACAUUACUCAUUGACAACAAAUGUGCUCUACGAUGACAUUUCCAGCAUGUCCAACUCAUCAGCAUCAGGGGAGAUUCGGUGGAGGUGGUGCACCAUCCAGGACCAGUCAUGGGCCACCAAAACCUCUGCAAAAUCUACACUUCUUGUGAACCCUGUAGAAGACACUACAACCACAAAACUGCUAAUAAACCAUCACAUACUGCGUCACA